UACGUAGGUGGCAAGCGUUGUCCGGAUUUACUGGGCGUAAAGAGCGCGCAGGCGGUCAGAUAAGUCGAAUGUGAAAGCCCCCGGCUCAACUGGGGAGGGUCAUUCGAUACUGUUCGACUCGAAGGCAGGAGAGGGAAGUGGAAUUCCCGGUGUAGUGGUGAAAUGCGUAGAUAUCGGGAGGAACACCGGUGGCGAAGGCGGCCUUCUGGACAGUGACUGACGCUGAGACGCGAAAGCGUGGGGAGCAAACAGG
Molecule: ribosomal RNA, 253 nt
Filed under: uncultured bacterium
Lineage: Bacteria
Description: partial 16S ribosomal RNA
Rfam family: Bacterial small subunit ribosomal RNA
Source: RNAcentral